This is a long non-coding RNA of Eucalyptus grandis, 1732 nucleotides long. RefSeq lists it as uncharacterized. The transcript has 3 exons. The record is from RefSeq and is a predicted model, not a curated record. Lineage: Eukaryota; Viridiplantae; Streptophyta; Magnoliopsida; Myrtales; Myrtaceae.
GGGGCAAAAAAAAAAGCUUGAAAACAUUUCUUGGCUAAAACCAGUUACAGUUGUCUGGAUUAAUACAGCAUAGAAUCUUGUUCUUGCCAUGUUCUAAUUGGUUACCAUAUAUCAGGUUCUGUCUUGAAGGAAACAACUAUUUAGCUAGAGUUAAAACCAUAUCUUAAGCUCUUGCUGCAUGUCAAAUGGGAGAAACAUGCCUUAGGGCGUUAGCUUCAACCAACAAUAUGGGUGAAUAUGAACUGGUCGGAUUUACGCUUUUGCAUAAGCAACUCUUCCAUUUUUUUCUAUAUUUAUAAGAAUAUGAUCUUCCAUUUAUUUCUUCUGUUUAUUUGGAUCUCAUAAUCGUUCUCUUUGAUGGUAGUUGAUGAGACAUGCUCACAAAAAGACUUGAAAAAGACUUUUUGGACAAUUAUCCCUAAUAGGGAAAAUCGUCCAAAAUGUAAGAAGAUGGACAGUAGAAUGUGCUUCAAUUUGUUUACCGACAUGGUCCGUAUCUAUAUACACACACGUGGUUCAUCAAUUAAUAACUUAAUUUUCAUCAUUAAGAACACAGAAAAGUAGGACCCCAUUUUAAAAUGUUUUGCCCAAGCUCUCGGGGUGGAUGAAACGUCAACAGAUGUGUACCUCUUUGUUGUUGUUACUUCUUGUUGGGGUGUGGUGGACAAAGUUUAAGCCUAUUAAGCUGCCUUAGAUUUCAUUGGGAGCAGAAGUUAUUGAAUUGAAAGCGCCAUCUAAUUAAUUUGGUUGUUUAUUAUCACUUUGAAAAUCCCAAUGUUGAAAUUUGAUGAUGUAAUUGCCUUUUCAAUAUUCAUUGUUUUCCUCAUGAGAUUGACCUUCUUGAAAAAUAGAAUUCACUUCUUAAAGAGAGUGAAAAGAGUUGAAGACGACAACAUCUUCCAUUGGCAUACCUUUCAUAGUCCCCUCAUUAGUAAAGCAAUCAACAACCCCUCUCUUGGUUUUUGCUUUCAGAUCCCGAUUCUGAUCGUCCUCAUCGCCAUUGCCUUUGUCACCGUCGUUUCUUAGCAUUCCUGAGCUGCGCCUUUCCUGCUCUGCUUCUCCCUGUUUUCCAAGUCGCGAAGCUUGAAAAGCUUCAAUCUCGGUUCGGGCAUCAACACCGAAGUUGAUCACCUUCCAGGACUUCUUCUUGUUACUGUAAGCUUCGGUCAUGAUCAAGAUUCCUCUUCGAGGAAACAAGAGAGGCUGAGGAAGAUGGAAGAGAGACAGGUAUACUUGCAACUUGACGAGGCCAAGGAAGCCCUCCUUCACGUAUGCAGCGAUGGUUGCAGGAUGAUUGGACCAUGCGACAAGCUCCUUAGAGCAUCGCAGCCUGCCUGUGGAUUCCUGCUUGUAAAGGACUUAAGACCUUAGUACGUCAUUUUACCAGUUGCAAGGUUCGCGUUCCUGGAGGAUGUGUUCACUGCAAGCGCAUGUAGCAGCUUCUUGAACUGCACUCUCGGAUGUGUACCGAGCCUGAUGAUUGCAAGGUUCCUCUCUGUAGGCAAUUUAUAGUGAAGAUUCGGCAUCAAACCAAGAAAGAUGAUUCCAAGUGGAAAAUGUUUGUCAACAAAGUAAUUGCAGCUAAGAUGCAUUGGACCACUCACUCUCAGCUCGGUGCUCAGGUUUAUUGUGAUAACUUUGUAUCUUUUAAAAAAUAUGCUUUCCCACAAGUUUGAUUCGUCCCAAUUCAAAAUGAAUAAAUAAAUUGCUGGGAACUUAUAGUUCUUUUUUU